RNAcentral lists this ribosomal RNA (376 nucleotides) under uncultured bacterium. RNAcentral's name for it is "bacterial SSU rRNA". It matches the Rfam family "Bacterial small subunit ribosomal RNA", at positions 28 to 410 of the family's 1533-position model. The record is from RNAcentral.
GAUUAACGCUGGCGGCGUGCCUAACACAUGCAAGUCGAACGAGGUAGCAAUACCUAGUGGCAGACGGGUGAGUAACGCGUGGUCAACCUACCGUUGAGUGGGGGAGUAACUAGCCGAAAGGUUAAGCUAAUACCGCAUACGUCUCCGAGGGGCGAUCCCUUGGCGAUAAAAGGAAGCAAUCCGCUCGAUGACGGGACCGCGUCCCAUUAGCUAGAUGGUGGGGUAACGGCCUACCAUGGCACCGAUGGGUAGCUGGUUUGAGAGAGCGACCAGCCACACUGGGACUGAGAAACGGCCCAGACUCCUACGGGAGGCAGCAGUGAGGAAUUUUCCGCAAUGGGCGCAAGCCUGACGGAGCGACGCCGCGUGUGGGAAG